RNAcentral lists this ribosomal RNA (397 nucleotides) under uncultured bacterium. RNAcentral's name for it is "partial 16S ribosomal RNA". It matches the Rfam family "Bacterial small subunit ribosomal RNA", at positions 523 to 918 of the family's 1533-position model. The record is from RNAcentral.
AUACGUAGGGGGCGAGCGUUAUCCGGAUUUACUGGGUGUAAAGGGAGCGUAGACGGCGAUGCAAGUCUGAAGUGAAAACCCGGGGCUCAACCCCGCGGACUGCUUUGGAAACUGUGUUGCUGGAGUGCAGGAGAGGUGAGUGGAAUUCCUAGUGUAGCGGUGAAAUGCGUAGAUAUUAGGAGGAACACCAGUGGCGAAGGCGCCUCCCGGUAUUGUACUUGACGUUGAGGCGCGAAAGCGUGGGGAGAAAACAGGAUUAGAUCCCCGGGUGGGCCCCGCCGUAAACGAUGAAUGCUAGGUGUCGGGGGGCAAAGCCCUUCGGUGCCGCCGCUAACGCAUUAAGCAUUCCACCUGGGGAGUACGUUCGCAAGAAUGAAACUCAAAUGAAUUGACGGGG